GGUGAGGUGUCCGAGUGGCUGAAGGAGCACGCCUGGAAAGUGUGUAUACGCAAAAAUGUAUCGAGGGUUCGAAUCCCUCCCUCACCGCCA
Molecule: transfer RNA, 90 nt
Filed under: Sodalis sp. Fle
Lineage: Bacteria; Pseudomonadati; Pseudomonadota; Gammaproteobacteria; Enterobacterales; Bruguierivoracaceae
Description: tRNA-Ser
Rfam family: tRNA
About the family: Transfer RNA (tRNA) molecules are approximately 80 nucleotides in length.
Source: RNAcentral